UGCAUUCACUACUGUAAGUCGCUCUGGAUAAGAGUGUCUGCUAAAUGCAACAAC
Salmo salar (Atlantic salmon) is the source of this 54-nucleotide non-coding RNA. NCBI's taxonomy places the organism in Eukaryota, Metazoa, Chordata, Actinopteri, Salmoniformes, Salmonidae. The record is from Rfam.